RNAcentral lists this ribosomal RNA (406 nucleotides) under uncultured bacterium. RNAcentral's name for it is "bacterial SSU rRNA". It matches the Rfam family "Bacterial small subunit ribosomal RNA", at positions 917 to 1322 of the family's 1533-position model. The record is from RNAcentral.
GGGCCCGCACAAGCGGUGGAGUAUGUGGUUUAAUUCGAUGCAACGCGAAGAACCUUACCUGGUCUUGACAUCCUGCGAACUUUCUAGAGAUAGAUUGGUGCCUUCGGGAACGCAGUGACAGGUGCUGCAUGGCUGUCGUCAGCUCGUGUCGUGAGAUGUUGGGUUAAGUCCCGUAACGAGCGCAACCCUUGUCCUUAUUUGCCAGCACAUCAUGGUGGGAACUAUAAGGAGACUGCCGGUGAUAAACCGGAGGAAGGCGGGGACGACGUCAAGUCAUCAUGGCCCUUACGACCAGGGCUACACACGUGCUACAAUGGGAAGGACAAAGAGCCGCGAAGCCGCGAGGUGUAGCUAAUCUCAAAAAGCCUGUCCCAGUUCGGAUUGGAGUCUGCAACUCGACUCCAUG